RNAcentral lists this ribosomal RNA (382 nucleotides) under uncultured soil bacterium. RNAcentral describes it as "bacterial SSU rRNA". It matches the Rfam family "Bacterial small subunit ribosomal RNA", at positions 26 to 399 of the family's 1533-position model. The record is from RNAcentral.
AGAUUGAACGCUAGCGGGAUGCUUUACACAUGCAAGUCGAACGGCAGCGCGGACUUCGGUCUGGCGGCGAGUGGCGAACGGGUGAGUAAUAUAUCGGAACGUGCCCAGUAGCGGGGGAUAACUACGCGAAAGCGUGGCUAAUACCGCAUACGCCCUACGGGGGAAGGGGGGGAUCGCAAGACCUCUCACUAUUGGAGCGGUCCGAUAUCAGAUUAGCUAGUUGGUGAGGUAAAGGCUCACCAAGGCGACGAUCUGUAGCUGGUUUGAGAGACGACAGCCACACGUGGGACUGAACGACACGGCCCCAGACUCCCGUACGGGAGGCUAGCUAGGUCGGGGUAAUUUGGACAAGUGGGGGAAACCCUGGACUCCAGCCAUCCCG